Molecule: ribosomal RNA, 119 nt
Organism: Nomascus leucogenys (northern white-cheeked gibbon)
Lineage: Eukaryota; Metazoa; Chordata; Mammalia; Primates; Hylobatidae
Source: Ensembl
GUCUACGGCCAUACCACCCUGAACGCGCCCGAUCUCGUCUGAUCUCGGAAGCUAAGCAGGGUCGGGCCUGGUUAGUACUUGGAUGGGAGACCAUGUGCAUUCAAGGGUAAAAGUAGCCC